Molecule: long non-coding RNA, 1460 nt
Organism: Monodelphis domestica (gray short-tailed opossum)
Lineage: Eukaryota; Metazoa; Chordata; Mammalia; Didelphimorphia; Didelphidae
Source: RefSeq, a predicted model, not a curated record
UGCAAAAUUAUGGUUUUUUUUCUUGAAGUGACACAUCACCUAAGUUAUGCUAGGGUUUUUGGCAAAUUUUGACACAUAAAGCUCAAAAGGUUGCCCAUCACUGUCAUAGACUGUAUUGCUGAGGUCCCUUACCCCCAGUCUAUUCCACUGAUCCUCCUUUCUGUCUCUUAGCCAGUACCAUAUAGUUUUGAUGACCACUGGUUUAUAGUACAGUUUGAGGUCUGGUACUACUAGGCCACCUUCCUUCACGUUUUUUUUUUCAAUAUUUCCCUGAGAACUGUCUCAGAUCAUUGUAUUGCUGUUAGUAGCAAAGUCUAUCACAUUUGAGAAUCCCUGCGUUAAAGAGUUGCUUUCAGAAACAGAAAGGGUAACUAAAUAACUUGCUGGGAUCACAUUUAGUAUCAGAAGCAAGAUGUGAACUCAGAGCCUGAACUCAGAAUCCAACAUUCUUUCCAUUUCUUGUCUCUUAAAAAAACAAAACAAAACAACCAAACAACUCCUAAUUCUUAUCCUUUUAUUUGGUUGGGUCAAGUUUAAAUGUGUUUAUUGUUGGAAAACAUCAUUUUACACUGUUGCUGAUAGAGGGAACUCAGUUGGGUUCAGCAGGUGAUGGGGUCCUCAGUGAAUGUGGCAGUACUCUCAGUAAGCCCAGGAGCCCAUUCCUGCCUUGCCACUCUUUGGUAUGGAAGAACAAAAGCAAGGGGUCUCUGGUGGGUUAUCUUUGAGACAUUGUGGGCUUAAAUCACUCAUAUUACCAUUCAACACAUCAAUCGGUCCCCACCUCCAUCCCACCUCCCUUGAGACUUCUGUGAGACAAGCCUUUUGAGGAAAAGUGCCUGGCUGUGAUUGUUGCUCUGAGGAUGCUGGUUCCCCUGGGGGCUCUGACCUCUGCUAGGGUCAGCAUCCUCUUGUUCUCUCACUGAGGCUGGUUUGUGUCACUUUCACUGCAUCCCUGGGAAGGUCUGCCAGCUGAUCUGUGGCAGGAUAUGCCUCGCCCUCCCAGCUCUUGGCUUAUCCCAGCUGCUGUCUCUCAAAGUAAGCCCUAUCAGGUGAUAUUGCUGCCGCUGUGGAGAGAGGCUUGGCUAACAUGAAUGGAGAGAAAAUAAAAAUCAAACAUCAAGUUAUGGUGUAGAAAGGAGAAACAGAUUCUCUUCAAAUUCAUUCAUUCAUCUGAGAACCAGUGUGUAUCUUCUACCUGCCAGAAGCUGAAUAUCAUUGCUAUUGUGAAGGUAGCAGUUUAUUAACAUGACCUUUAAGAGUUUAUUCACUUCAAAAGGGCUGGCAUGUCAUUUAUUUUAGAUCAAUUAAAACCAAAGAAUUUAUUAAGAUCUGUCUAUGUCUGAGGCACUAUUCUAGGUGUUCGAGUUAAAGCAGAAUAGUCCCUGCACUUAAGGAGCGGCGUAUUAGGUGAUUCAACAUAUAAGAAUGCUUGGAUGAAAUAAAGAGGAUCUGAGUUUAAA